UGCUACAAUUACAACAUAAAGCAAACCCCCUCACCUUCUCUUCAUUAGUGAAUGAAUAAUGAGGCUCAAUUUCAAAAUGGGGUAAUUUGGAGUAUUCUGAUGAUGCGGAUUUUUGGGAGCAGAAUAGUAAAUUUCUGUAUUUCACAGACAAUUAGGUCAUCAUCCCCAAAUAGCGAAUAAUUAGAGGGAUAAUCCUCUUCUGUUCCUAAUGGCAUUCACAUGGAACAAAUUGGAUAGAAUAUUUUGGAGCCUAAUUACUGUUCGCACUACAAAUUCCUCAAAUAUGAAUAAUUAGUAAAUUUGUAUGCUCCUCACGAGGAAUUUUCAAAAAAAAAAGGAAAAUGCUUGAUAUUUCGAAUAUUCUGUGUAGCUGGAAAAUUCCAAAGUUGAAAUUGAAAGUGUUCCUGAGCACGGCAAAAUUAGAGUUUGAGGUGGCGGAUGGUAGGAAUGUGAAGGGUGAAAUAAUGGAGCUACCAACUAUAAUAGUCAUUUUUCCAACAGCCCCAUUCUCACGUACGCUUUUCCCGUGCGUGCCACAACACAUGAUGUACACAUAUUCAGCAUUUCUUCCAAAAGGGAGAACGGAAUUAAAGUAUGGCACCACAUUGGCAGGAUAAUCACUUUGUCUUUUGGCACGCAAUUCAUAAGCAACAUCUUGUACCAACAGGAAAAUGUGGAGAAUUUUCAAAUCCUCAGAGACACAAGUACAUCAUGUCUUUUUGGAGAGCUUUCCAUUGGGGGGAAAAGUGCAAGACUCUUGGGAUUACUGGUGAAGAAAAUUAUUAAUCUUCACCACGAAUGCCACCCUCCUAAUUGUCACGAGGGGACACUUCAUGGGGAGGGAAUUCUGCUAAUAUGAAGAGACAGAUCCAUUGACUGGGGAAUUUACUCUCCGGCAAAUCAACUUGUGUCACAUUUAUGGCAAUGGGAAUGUCUCCUUGCCAUCCGGGAAUACCUGGUAGGGAAGGGGUUGAAGUUGGUGCAAUAUGUGGGGAAUGUUAUAGGAUUUGCAAAAGAGAAAAAUAAUUCCGGAGCUCAAUAUUCCUGGAAUUUCUCAAACAAAGUGAGUUGA
This is a long non-coding RNA of Phlebotomus papatasi, 1072 nucleotides long. RefSeq lists it as uncharacterized. The record is from RefSeq and is a predicted model, not a curated record. The transcript is spliced from 3 exons. NCBI's taxonomy places the organism in Eukaryota, Metazoa, Arthropoda, Insecta, Diptera, Psychodidae.